Long non-coding RNA from Solea solea (common sole), 571 nucleotides. RefSeq lists it as uncharacterized. The transcript is spliced from 5 exons. NCBI's taxonomy places the organism in Eukaryota, Metazoa, Chordata, Actinopteri, Pleuronectiformes, Soleidae. The record is from RefSeq and is a predicted model, not a curated record.
CGUAUACACCCCUGGGAACUUUCUAGAAGCACUCACCUUUUCCUUUCUUCCAGUGGAGACGUUGCCCGAGAGCAUCAAGAACUGGUUGGAAGCUGUGUGUGAGAGAGAGGCGAGUUGCACAAAUUUGCGAGCAACUCAAAAUAGCUCUGGGUAAAUAAAGGGGGCAUCAGUUCACGACUGCUCUGAAAGAAAAUAGGCAAUUAUUUGAGGAGGGAGGUAGAGAGGCCAUCAGAUGUAGCCAGGAAUAUCUGAAAAUGUGCCAAGCUGCUGCUGCCAUGGCUCUUGUCCUCUUCAUAUAUAAGAGUCUCUUACACUCUCUCUUCGGUGGGAGCGAAGAGCAGGUCCCUGAGAUUGACGCGUGUGAUGCGCUGCCGUGUGGGUCUGGAGCCCGAUGAAGCGGCUCCGCCGGACAAAGAGGGACCUGUUCCCGAUCCCUGCAGGCUGCAGAAGAGGAGGAUGGAGAGUCCAAAAUUCUCCUCUUCUUCCUAGGGCCGAUGGCUGCCAGUGCCGUCAGGUUGGCCUCCCUCUGUCUCAUCUGAGCCAGCUCCUGCUGCUGCAUCUGGACAACGAG